Molecule: long non-coding RNA, 1506 nt
Organism: Alligator mississippiensis (American alligator)
Lineage: Eukaryota; Metazoa; Chordata; Crocodylia; Alligatoridae
Exons: 3
Source: RefSeq, a predicted model, not a curated record
AUAGGCACCCAGUGCUUCCCACACGCAGCUGCAACGCCCCCCAGGACUGCCUGAGCCGGGUGCCUGCGAGCAGGUGCUGCCUGGGUGGGGGGGCACAGCUGCUGCGGAGGGAAGCAUCACCCCCUCCCCUGCAACCCAGGGAUCGCUCCACCCACUGGCAGCUUGCCCUACCCUCCCCACUGGAGAGGCAGGACUGGAAUGAUCUAGGCUACCAGAUGACCUCUGGCCGCUAAAAAGCUUUCUGGCCUGUUUAGAUCUUCUCCAUGGACUGCCACCUUGAUGGGAUGGAGAGGCUUACAUGUACCGAUGAUCCUAAAAGCAACACCAUCAGAAGUCUUGUAUUCCUGGUAGGGGCACCUAUGGUAGUAAGGUCAAAGGUGAGGUAUCAGAUGAAGAGCAGUCCAAUACAACACAAAGACCUCAACAGUAGAGCAGCCAGAUGCAGAAGGCAUACUUCUCAACAGCUGCAAAAGCAGAUGAAGGCUUCAGUGGACAAGUAAACCCUGUUGUCUUGGAUCCCCUUGCCACUGGACAUCAGAAAAACCAAGGUGCUUCACCAGCCUGCUCUGGACCAAUCAAGGCCCCUGACAAAGAUCCUCAUUGAUGGACAGGAGCUGGAGAAUGUUGAACACUUUACAUAGCUUGGCAGCCAACUCUCAAAGAAGGCCAGCAUCAACAAGGUGAUCCAAGAUAGGAUCCAAUGUGCCAGCUCUGCCUUCAGAAGACUGAAUCAUUAUGUGUUCAAUAAUCUCAACAACAGGACAUGAACAAAGCUCCUACUACACAAGGUGGUGGUAAUCCAAACUCUUCUGUAUGGCUAUGAAGCUUGGGUGACCUACAGGAACCACCUGAAAAGACUGGAAUGCCAUCACUAGCACUACCUCUGGAAGAUCAUUGGCAUAAAGUGGCAAGAUCAUCACACAAAUGCCAGUGUCCUCACCAAUGCUAACACCACCAGUAUGGAAGCAUUGUUUAUGUAGCAUCCAUUCAGAUGAACAGGGCAUUAUGUGUGCAUGUCUGAUGUAUGUAUGCCAGAACAACUGCUAUACUCCCAACUCAGCCAAGGACAAAGGACACAUGGGGGCCAGAGAAAAUGCUUCAAAGACAUCCUGAAGGCAAACAUUAAGUGUGGCACUUACACUACAAAUUAGGGAAAACUAGCCCAGGACAGGACUGCAUGGCAAUGCCCUGUGAGAAAAGAAACAUCUUACUUUGAGACAGGUCUGGCCCUGGAGGCAGGAAAAUGACAGAAGUAGAAGGAAAGGAAAUAAGUCUGAGAAAUCUGUGGUCUGAUCCUCCCUUUAACCACCACCUAAGGUAUUUGCCAGAGAGUCUGCAGCUCUAGGAUCAGCUUUCUUAGCCAUCAAUGGACUCAUUUACAACCUUUUACUUGACCCAUGGGAGUGAUCAUCCUCAACCAUGAGGGAUCACCAAUGACAAUAUUAGCUCCCCGCCUCCCCCAACAAUAUUUUUAUUAUUCAAAGUUAAUUUUGCAAAAUAUCAAUC